This 65-nucleotide transfer RNA is filed under the name Coccocrater sp. MNHN-IM-2013-41044. RNAcentral's name for it is "tRNA-Asn". The record is from RNAcentral. Lineage: Eukaryota; Metazoa; Mollusca; Gastropoda; Cocculinidae.
UGAGUUAAAGCUAAAUUGAAGCGCCUAACUGUUAACUAGAAGAUUGUAAUUAAUUACUAACUCAG